AGUGAACGCUGGCGGUAGGCCUAACACAUGCAAGUCGAACGGCAGCACAGUAAGAGCUUGCUCUUACGGGUGGCGAGUGGCGGACGGGUGAGGAAUACAUCGGAAUCUACUUUUUCGUGGGGGAUAACGUAGGGAAACUUACGCUAAUACCGCAUACGACCUACGGGUGAAAGCAGGGGAUCUUCGGACCUUGCGCGAUUGAAUGAGCCGAUGUCGGAUUAGCUAGUUGGCGGGGUAAAGGCCCACCAAGGCGACGAUCCGUAGCUGGUCUGAGAGGAUGAUCAGCCACACUGGAACUGAGACACGGUCCAGACUCCUGCGGGAGGCAGCAGUGGGGAAUAUUGGACAAUGGGCGAAAGCCUGAUCCAGCCAUACCGCGUGGGUGAAGAAGGCCUUCGGGUUGUAAAGCCCUUUUGUUGGGAAAGAAAAGCAGCAGGUUAAUACCCCGCUGUUCUGACGGUACCCAAAGAAUAAGCACCGGCUAACUUCGUG
This 492-nucleotide ribosomal RNA is filed under the name uncultured bacterium. Its description in RNAcentral is "partial 16S ribosomal RNA". It matches the Rfam family "Bacterial small subunit ribosomal RNA", at positions 29 to 507 of the family's 1533-position model. The record is from RNAcentral.